This 200-nucleotide unclassified non-coding RNA is filed under the name Dothideomycetes sp. RNAcentral describes it as "partial internal transcribed spacer 2". The record is from RNAcentral. Lineage: Eukaryota; Fungi; Ascomycota; Dothideomycetes.
UUAAGUUCAGCGGGUCUUCCUACCUGAUCCGAGGUCAACCUAAGAUGUGCGCAAAGGCGCAGGUUUGACAGCUGCCUGAGGCCGGUCCCUGGCGAGUUAAUUUCUACUACGCUAGAACGCCGUUCUCUCGGCCGCUGAUGACUUUGAGGCCCGCCCGCGUGGGGACGGAGGCCCAAUACCAAGCAGAGCUUGACGGUUGU